RNAcentral lists this transfer RNA (71 nucleotides) under Marmota monax (woodchuck). RNAcentral's name for it is "tRNA.Ala". The record is from RNAcentral. Lineage: Eukaryota; Metazoa; Chordata; Mammalia; Rodentia; Sciuridae.
GGGGUUGUGGCUCAGUGAGAGAGUGCUCACCUAGCAUGUGCUAGGUACUGGGUUCGAUCCUCAGCACCACA